RNAcentral lists this long non-coding RNA (1037 nucleotides) under Salvia miltiorrhiza (redroot sage). RNAcentral describes it as "long non-coding RNA (SMIL_LNC008267)". The record is from RNAcentral. Lineage: Eukaryota; Viridiplantae; Streptophyta; Magnoliopsida; Lamiales; Lamiaceae.
AAAAAAUUUGAUUCCAGUCCGAAACCCCUGUUCACGCUCUUCAAUUGGGCCCGGAAGCGGCCCGAUUACGGAUUCUCCAUCGAUGUUUUCAAUGCCAUGGUUGAUUCUCUCGGCAAAGCCCGAGAAUUCGACUCAGCUUGGUGCGUUAUACUUGAUCAGAUUGAAGGAGAUCCCAGCGAAAGACCUAAUUUCGAUACUUAUGUUAUCAUGAUUAGGAGAUACGCACGCGCAGGUAAUAUUUCAUUUGAUUAAGGGAUAUAGUUUUGAACACUCGUAGUAAUAAUCCAGCUCAGUUUGUAUCUAAUUGUAUCAAGCUCAGUUACUGCGUGUGUGUGUUCGCGCCAGCUUUCUUGCUGUAGGAUUCUGUCUGCCAGUGCAGGUGCCGUCGAGGUUGCAGUGGCCGGCGAGGUUGAGGGCAGGGGUUUGGCCGUUCAAGAAGGUGAAGAAGNUAGUCAACUAUUAUUUUUUAAAAUUUUCUGUGGGGCCCAUCUUCUUCACCUUCUUGAACGGCCAAACCCCUGCCCUCAACCUCGCCGGCCACUGCAACCCCGACGCCGGCACCUGCACUGGCAUCAGCGACGACAUCCGGACCUGCCAGUCCCUCGGCAUCAAGGUGCUCCUCUCCCUCGGCGGCCAAAUCGGCACCUACUCCCUCGCCUCCGCCAACAACGCCACCCAGGUCGCCGACGACCCAACCUUCGCCCGCAUUUCCAAACUCCUCCACAAUCCAGCCCUACAGCCCGGCCCCGACCUCGAAAAGGCCCUCUCCGAGGCGGAAAUCAAUCCAACUCCGGCUCUUUUACUCGGAAUCUUCAAAAAAUUUGAUUCCAGUUCGAAACCCCUGUUCACGCUCUUCAAUUGGGCCCGGAAGCGGCCCGAUUACUGAUUCUCCAUCGAUGUUUUCAAUGCCAUGGUUGAUUCUCUCGGCAAAGCCCGAGAAUUCGACUCAGCUUGGUGCGUUAUACUUGAUCAGAUUGAAGGAGAUCCCAACGAAAGACCUAAUUUCGAUACUUAUGUUAUCAUGAUUAGGAGAUACG